This 468-nucleotide ribosomal RNA is filed under the name uncultured bacterium. RNAcentral's name for it is "partial 16S ribosomal RNA". It matches the Rfam family "Bacterial small subunit ribosomal RNA", at positions 28 to 523 of the family's 1533-position model. The record is from RNAcentral.
GAUGAACGCUGGCGGCGUGCCUAACACAUGCAAGUCGAGCGAUUCUCUUCGGAGAAGAGCGGCGGACGGGUGAGUAACGCGUGGGUAACCUGCCCUGUACACACGGAUAACAUACCGAAAGGUAUGCUAAUACGAGAUAAUAUACUUUUAUCGCAUGGUAGAAGUAUCAAAGCUUUUGCGGUACAGGAUGGACCCGCGUCUGAUUAGCUAUUUGGUAAGGUAACGGCUUACCAAGGCGACGAGCAGUAGCCGACCUGAGAGGGUGAUCGGCCACAUUGGAACUGAGACACGGUCCAAACUCCUACGGGAGGCAGCAGUGGGGAAUAUUGCACAAUGGGCGAAAGCCUGAUGCAGCAACGCCGCGUGAGCGAUGAAGGCCUUCGGGUCGUAAAGCUCUGUCCUCAAGGAAGAUAAUGACGGUACUUGAGGAGGAAGCCCCGGCUAACUACGUGCCAGCCGCCGCCGUAA